GAUAAGAGCUUGUGUAUUGUGUUAUUAUUGGCUAAUAUAAAAUUUCAAUUGCUAGUAAAAUCUCUUCUAUGUAAAUUAUAAAGAAAUUUUUAAAGUAUUAUAAAAAAUUAAAAUUUUUAUAUUGAGUGUACACUCAAUAAAAUAUUUCUAAAGCCUUCUAAAACCUUUUGUUAAGUAAAAGAAUAAUUUUCUCUAGCAAAAAAAAAAAAAAAUGUUAAGCCUUUGCUACUAAUCUUACUUAUUCAACAACUUAAAAUAUAGAUAAAUAUAAAAAAAUAAAUUAUAGAUAACAUAUACAUUUUUACCAAUGUUUUAUCAAGUUCAUAAGCUAAAACGCCUCCAAAACCUCAGAGUCUAUCUUUUCAUCACUUCUUAGGUUAGCUGCCCAAGAUAACCUUUUAUUCUUAUAAACAAUUUUAUUUAUUUGAUAUAUCAUUAUACAUAUUAAAUUUUAUAAGAUUUAGAAGCUUUAUAUGAGUAUCAUUUGACAAUUUGCCAUAAGAAAAAUAUGUGGAUUUGUUAAAAAUUGUGGGAAACUCUGUAUAAUUUAUGGCCAAAGAAGACAAUAUUAAGGGUCAUGUACAGAAACUUUUUAUAAUUUUUUGUUAACAUUUUUAUUUUAGUAUUAAACAUUAAAUUUUUAUUUACUAUCAC
Long non-coding RNA from Daktulosphaira vitifoliae (grape phylloxera), 654 nucleotides. RefSeq lists it as uncharacterized. NCBI's taxonomy places the organism in Eukaryota, Metazoa, Arthropoda, Insecta, Hemiptera, Phylloxeridae. The transcript has 3 exons. The record is from RefSeq and is a predicted model, not a curated record.